This 430-nucleotide ribosomal RNA is filed under the name Bacillota bacterium. Its description in RNAcentral is "Firmicutes bacterium partial 16S ribosomal RNA". It matches the Rfam family "Bacterial small subunit ribosomal RNA", at positions 355 to 776 of the family's 1533-position model. The record is from RNAcentral. Lineage: Bacteria; Bacillati; Bacillota.
UGGGGAAUAUUGGACAAUGGGCGGAAGCCUGAUCCAGCCAUGCCGCGUGUGUGAAGAAGGCCUUUUGGUUGUAAAGCACUUUAAGCGAGGAGGAGGCUACUUGGAUUAAUACUCGAGGAUAGUGGACGUUACUCGCAGAAUAAGCACCGGCUAACUCUGUGCCAGCAGCCGCGGUAAUACAGAGGGUGCGAGCGUUACUCGGAUUUACUGGGCGUAAAGCGUGCGUAGGCGGCUUCUUAAGUCGGAUGUGAAAUCCCUGAGCUUAACUCAGGAAUUGCAUUUGAUACUGGGAAGCUAGAGUAUGGGAGAGGAUGGUAGAAUUCCAGGUGUAGCGGUGAAAUGCGUAGAGAUCUGGAGGAAUACCGAUGGCGAAGGCAGCCAUCUGGCCUAAUACUGACGCUGAGGUACGAAAGCAUGGGGAGCAAACAGG